CUCACCUCCCUCGCUCUGCGCACCCAAGCGCCUGGCUUUCAGGAGUUGGAUUUUCUAGAAAAACAGGGUGCGCAGAGGUGUGUGAGUGUGGGUCAGCUGCUGGGGGAACAGAAGGCACUUGCUGAGGUCAGAAGCUACCAGCCUGGGGCUCCAGCCACUCAGCCUGUUCCACCUGCCUGAGGCCUGAGGGAAGUCACAACUCAGCACAGAGAUAACCAGCAACAAAGAAAUAAAAAAGUGUUGCCUGAGACAUCAGUUUUGACCACACAAGAAAUCCCAAGAAGGAUCGGAGGAGCGUGCUGGAGGCCGGGAGACCCAGGAGCAGGGAUGCUGUGUGCAAGGCAGACCACAGAGGACCUGAACUCAGCCCUGACCAACAGAGUGACUCUCUGACCACCUCCCACGUCCCAGCCCCUAGACGCCGACCCCAACUCACUCUACUCACGAUGCUCUUGUCCUCAGAGCUCCACGUCCAAAGUCUCCCCACCUGCCGGGCUCUGCUCAGAUACCCCCUCCUCCAGGAAGCCCUCUCUGCUGCGCCUUAGAUCCGCGCCCCAGUCUGCGCUCCUGUCACACCCUCCCCGGGUGUUCCCAUGCCCACAGUAAGCCGGUGUCCCAGCAACAUGUGCGUGAAGGAACCGGAAGCCUAGAGAGGGCCAGACUUCUGGAGGGCAGAGGCUUUCAGAACGUGAGGGAUCACAGAUGCAAUGCAAGGACAGCCCAUGGAAGCUUCUGGAAGCACACAGGGCUAGGCGGGUCAGCAGCCCAGCUUCUUCAAGUGGGAGGAAGAGUGAGGGCUUCGAGGUCUGGCCGAGGACGGCAGGGGAGGGAAGAGAAUGCACCACCUUACCUCACAGCAAAAAGCCCCAUUUGAUAGAGGACAGAACUGAGGUUCAGGGAACCCUUUCUCCAAGGCUGCAGAGUCAAGCCUGGCCCCUGCAGCUGCCAGACUCCUUUCUAAACUUGGAUUUCUCAAAGGGAGUUUUAUCCCCCAGGGGCAUGUGGACUUUUACGGGGUGUUUAUGUUCAUUCCGGUAGCUGGGAGGGCGGGGCUAC
This is a long non-coding RNA of Cervus elaphus (red deer), 1056 nucleotides long. RefSeq lists it as uncharacterized. The transcript is spliced from 3 exons. The record is from RefSeq and is a predicted model, not a curated record. Lineage: Eukaryota; Metazoa; Chordata; Mammalia; Artiodactyla; Cervidae.